This is a long non-coding RNA of Gasterosteus aculeatus aculeatus (three-spined stickleback), 2607 nucleotides long. The record is from Ensembl. Lineage: Eukaryota; Metazoa; Chordata; Actinopteri; Perciformes; Gasterosteidae.
GCCUCCCCCUGAACGGUAGGACUGGAGGGGGAUCGCAGCCCACACAUGCCAGCGCACAAAGCCCGGCAUUCAUGCAUCGGUCCGCCGUGCUCGACGCCCACUGCUGUGACGGCGUACAGACAGAAAGACGGCCAGCAGGACGGGGAAAGGCAGAGCUGAUGUUCCAUGGAAAGGAAAAACAGGAAUAGCGCUGAAUGAAUAGUACCCUCGACACACCUAGCCGGCGCUGCAGCUCCGGGCUCUGAAGGGUGCAGUGUUCGGGGACAACGCGGCAGUGUUUUGGCCUCAACCGCUUUUAAUCGUGGAGGGAAGUAGAGGUGUAACUGCUACUACGGUCCUGUAGAUCCCGCUGAGUGGAGUGGUGCUCAUACUGGGGAGAGUGUUAAGAAGGUUUGACUUAUUUAAAUAAAGGAGUUUGGAUGCCACACAUCUAACAUCUGACAGGAAUCGGGUCUCUAAUGCAAACAAACCCUUUCUGCUCCCGAGCUGACCGCUAAAAAACGUUGUGAGACGAGUCUUACUCUCGUAAUUGUUUUUCCAGUAGCAGAGCUAAGUUGAGUAAAGAGCUGACGUGUGCUGUGAGGGGAGAAAGGGUGUCGUGCAUCAUGGAACUAUGGAGUCGGGCCUGGUUUUGCCACGAAUGGCAUCACUGGCUUGAAACGCUGGAGUGACCAGGCACACAGAAUAAGACAAUGUUCCUUUGCUAAGUGUUGGCGACCAGAGAAAGGCUCCUUCAUCCGGGGACGAGAUCUCCUGUCACUCCUCUGCUCAUCGGCCCGGGUUCUCCUGCCAAGCUGAGACAGCUCCGAUCCACUGGGUGUGCUUCGGAUGUUUGCGUCUGACGGAAUAAAAAGGGUUCAGUGGUUCCUGUUGCCCCCUUUAACUUCCAUGCCUUCAUUUGUCCAGGGUGGUGGGUAUUAUCUUUAUGCUUGACUGGAUGGUGGGAAACACACACAGUGAGCGAGCGCCUCCCUCCAAGGGGCUGCUGUUAUGGUUCAACAUUCCUUUGACAUUACCUUCUUCUUCUUUCUAAUUUCAGUAGCAGCAGCGUGUGUGUGAGAGCGAGUACUUUACCACCUCUGCCUCAUUUGGGAACAUUUGGGAAUCUCCUUGGUUUGAUUGGUUAAUCACUGAAGAUGAACUGAUCACGCGUGUGCGUGAUGCACAGCUCACAGUUUGAGCAGAUAAGAACUCAGAGUGUCAAUGGCAGGACGUGUUAUGGUUGCAGAGGCCCAGUAGCAGAUUAGCAAGCUGAAGCGAGCCGACCCAAAGCGUCCUCACACUCAUUUUACCAUCAGGGACGGAAGUCAGUUCGUAGAACUCCCAUCGGCUAUCUGUAGUGUGCUAAAUGCAUGAAUAGGUUGUGACGAGCUGUAACCACAACUAUCAGCCAAUGAAUAAUACAUCCCACUUGAAGGUGUGCUCACGUUAACCAGGGUGCUGCAGGUCCUGCUGCUGUCCACAGAGCUGAAGACUAGCAGAGGUUUCCUGCCGCGCAGAGAUGCAGAGAUCACCGUCAUGUACGUUCAGCCCUGAGACUAAAGGGAAGGAGACAGAAGUUCAUCUACCACACACACACACAACAUGGCUUCUGCAGACCUGAGAGAAGCGCUGGCUUUAGCUGCUCCCCGUGCCACAUGGCCCCAUCCAGGGGCCCCAACACACCCAGGAGAUGCUACGUGCUGUGUCUCUUGGGGGUUUAUUGAAAACUUCGACCCACACAUCGCCAACAUCACAUUAAUACGUCUAUCGGCGCUGAGGAGGCAGCGAGGGAUGAAACCAUUACCCGCCGGUGAAGACAAAGCGGCGGGGCAGAUAUGAGCCUGGAGAAGUCCUGGAGAAGUCCUGGAGAAGAAGCAGCCGGUGUUUUUGAAGGUGAUUCAAACCAGAAGCCCCCCGUUCAGAAGCUUGUUUUCUUGUGCUGUGCGGCAGAGCAGAUGGGAGGCCUAUCAGAAGCAUUCCGUGGGGACGUUCUUUUUAAUGCUUGUAUGUGGCUGCUAAUGAGGAUCAAGAGGUCUACGUUCAAAUUAAAAACAAUAAUACAGUGUUUCUUUAAAGGCCACAACCCUGGAGGAGUUCCUGAGAGCCGUCCUGCACAGCGCAGCACGUCACGGCCUUCCAUGCAGUAUUUCAUGUCCCCGUCUGCCCCCUGCAGGCCCUGCUGCUGUGAUUUAGAGCCAGAUGAGAGAGGAGGACGCAGGAGGCCCUGGAUGAAGGAAUGCUUCCACCCUUCCUGAUGUUAACUGCCCCACUGGGAGGAACACCAGCAGGGACCUCUAAGGAUGCGACACUGCAGAGCUUUCACUCAAAACCCCCACGUCAGGUCAUACUUUUUAGAGGUGCUCUAAAUCAGUGGCGCACAACCUCCGAGUCAUUCGUGUGCAAAAUAUAAAAAAUGUUUUGAAUUUGGAAAAAUGGCGGCAUCCUCUCCCAAUUACAUGUGCUUGGUCCUGUUUUUGGUCUGACGCUUUACUGCUUGGUUGUACAAUGUUUUCAUUAUAAUCCUACAAACAACGUAACAGCUUUUGCCUGGUCAGCGUCAGCCAGAACUAUUGCUGUUUGCUUGGGGGUUCAAAUACUUAUUUUCUGCAUCAAAUGCAAAUAAAG